Molecule: ribosomal RNA, 426 nt
Filed under: Apogonichthys perdix (Perdix cardinalfish)
Lineage: Eukaryota; Metazoa; Chordata; Actinopteri; Kurtiformes; Apogonidae
Description: partial 12S ribosomal RNA
Rfam family: Bacterial small subunit ribosomal RNA
Source: RNAcentral
GGCGCUUCACACCCACCUAGAGGAGCCUGUUCUAGAACCGAUGACCCCCGUUCAACCUCACCUUUUCUUGUUCCUCCCGCCUAUAUACCGCCGUCGUCAGCUCACCCUGUGAAGGCCCUAACAGUGAGCAAAACUGGCAUAGCCCAAAACGUCAGGUCGAGGUGUAGCGCACGGAAAGGGAAGAAAUGGGCUACAAUUGCUUAAACAGCUAACACGAAUUGAGUCGCUGAAACGCACACAUGAAGGAGGAUUUAGAAGUAAGAGGGUAAGUAGAGCGUCCCUCUGAAAUGGUUCUGAAGCGUGCACACACCGCCCGUCACCCUCCCCAAGUUACCCAGAGAACUGAAGUAAUUAAAAACUUACAACAACAAAGGGGAGGCAAGUCGUAACAUGGUAAGUGUACCGGAAGGUGCACUUGGUUUAAAU